RNAcentral lists this small RNA (29 nucleotides) under Bombyx mori (domestic silkworm). Its description in RNAcentral is "ovarian small RNA-27147". Lineage: Eukaryota; Metazoa; Arthropoda; Insecta; Lepidoptera; Bombycidae. The record is from RNAcentral.
UCCCAGAACUUCUCAAGGCUCCUGCGAAU